RNAcentral lists this ribosomal RNA (370 nucleotides) under uncultured bacterium. RNAcentral's name for it is "bacterial SSU rRNA". It matches the Rfam family "Bacterial small subunit ribosomal RNA", at positions 790 to 1167 of the family's 1533-position model. The record is from RNAcentral.
GUAGUCCACGCCGUAAACGAUGGAUACUAGCUGUUGGGGGCAACUUCAGUGGCUAAGCGAAAGUGAUAAGUAUCCCACCUGGGGAGUACGUUCGCAAGAAUGAAACUCAAAGGAAUUGACGGGGGCCCGCACAAGCGGUGGAGCAUGUGGUUUAAUUCGAUGAUACGCGAGGAACCUUACCAAGGCUUAAAUGUAGAUUGACCGUUUUGGAAACAGAACUUUCGCAAGACAAUUUACAAGGUGCUGCAUGGUUGUCGUCAGCUCGUGCCGUGAGGUGUCAGGUUAAGUCCUAUAACGAGCGCAACCCCUGUUGUUAGUUGCCAGCGAGUCAUGUCGGGAACUCUAACAAGACUGCCAGUGAUAUACUGGA